Long non-coding RNA from Cyprinus carpio (common carp), 567 nucleotides. NCBI's taxonomy places the organism in Eukaryota, Metazoa, Chordata, Actinopteri, Cypriniformes, Cyprinidae. The record is from Ensembl.
CAUCAUUUACAGUCAGUUUACAGUCCCUCUUCAGCACUGGGUAUGUACUUCAGUAAAUUAUUCCACAUCACUGAUUUAUAAACGGCUGCUGAGGUAGUAUUCUCAAGUGAAGCGAGUUGAACACUUAACAACAGAAUAAGACCAGUGCAUUAGUUUGUAACUCACUUUAUUUUAUAUAGUGUUUUUGUUGCUGUUGCUGCUAACUCAACAUAUUUCUUCAUCUCAUUAACAUCAUCAUCUCCAGGUCACACUGAACAGCAGAUUGUUGUCUCAAGCCAGUGCUGAUCAAUAACAGUUUAGCUGCAGUAUGUCAGAGAAGAGAGGAAAGAUGAGUCUCUCACAGAAACAGAGUGUAAGAUCAGGAUCACAUGUGUCCAGCUCUGUGUCUGUGAAGAGUGACUGGUCAAAAGAUGGUGUGCCACCGAACUUAAGUGAGAAAAAAGCAUCAUCUACCAAAAGAGUUCAAUAUGAGACAUUAGAUUCAGACGUCCAGACUCACAGGAACUACAAGAAUUUCAAAAACAAUCUCCUGCAGACCUUCCAGGAUCUUGAAAGCAAAAUUAUCAC